CAUGUCUAAGUAUAAGCAAUUAUACAGCGAAACUGCGAAUGGCUCAUUAUAUAAGUUAUCGUUUAUUUGAUAGUACCUUACUACUUGGAUAACCGUGGUAAUUCUAGAGCUAAUACAUGCUAAAAAUCCCGACUUCGGAAGGGAUGUAUUUAUUAGAUUAAAAACCAAUGCCCUCUGGGCUCCUUGGUGAUUCAUGAUAACUCUUCGAAUCGCACGGCCUUGCGCCGGCGAUGGUUCAUUCAAAUUUCUUCCCUAUCAACUUUCGAUGUUUGGGUAUUGGCCAAACAUGGUUGCAACGGGUAACGGAGGGUUAGGGCUCGACCCCGGAGAAGGAGCCUGAGAAACGGCUACUACAUCCAAGGAAGGCAGCAGGCGCGCAAAUUACCCAAUCCCGAUUCGGGGAGGUAGUGACAAUAAAUACUGAUACAGGGCUCUUUUGGGUCUUGUAAUUGGAAUGAGUACAAUUUAAAUCCCUUAACGAGGAACAAUUGGAGGGCAAGUCUGGUGCCAGCAGCCGCGGUAAUUCCAGCUCCAAUAGCGUAUAUUAAAGUUGUUGUGGUUAAAAAGCUCGUAGUUGAACCUUGGGCCUGGCUGGCCGGUCCGCCUCACCGCGUGCACUGGUCCGGCCGGGCCUUUCCCUCUGUGGAACCCCAUGCCCUUCACUGGGCGUGGCGGGGAAACAGGACGUUUACUUUGAAAAAAUUAGAGUGCUCCAGGCAGGCCUAUGCUCGAAUACAUUAGCAUGGAAUAAUGAAAUAGGACGCGUGGUUCUAUUUUGUUGGUUUCUAGGACCGCCGUAAUGAUUAAUAGGGACAGUCGGGGGCAUCAGUAUUCAAUUGUCAGAGGUGAAAUUCUUGGAUUUAUUGAAGACUAACUACUGCGAAAGCAUUUGCCAAGGAUGUUUUCAUUAAUCAGGAACGAAAGUUAGGGGAUCGAAGACGAUCAGAUACCGUCGUAGUCUUAACCAUAAACUAUGCCGACUAGGGAUCGGACGAUGUUAUUUUUUGACGCGUUCGGCACCUUACGAGAAAUCAAAGUGCUUGGGCUCCAGGGGGAG
Molecule: ribosomal RNA, 1057 nt
Filed under: Cordyceps tenuipes
Lineage: Eukaryota; Fungi; Ascomycota; Sordariomycetes; Hypocreales; Cordycipitaceae
Description: SSU rRNA
Rfam family: Eukaryotic small subunit ribosomal RNA
Source: RNAcentral